CAUGUCCUUUAGUUUAUAAUUUAAGGUCUGAUCUGCUCAAUGAUUAUUUAAAUUGCCGCAGUAUUUUGACUGUGCAAAGGUAGCAUAGUAAUUAGCUUCUUGAUUAGGAGCUGGAAUGAAUGAUUGGACAAGAAAAUUUCUGUCUCUAUUUAAUUGUUUAUUGAAUUUUAUUUUUAAGUUAAAAAGCUUAAAUGUUUGUAAAAGACGAGAAGACCCUAUAGAGUUUAAUAUUUUAAUUUUAUUUAUUAAUAGAAUGAUUUUUGGGAUUUAAGUAUUUAGUUGGGGUGAUUUAAAGAUUAGAAUAAUUCUUUGAUAUUUUUAUUGAUGAUAAUUAAAUUAUAAAUCUAUGAUUUUAAGUUUAAUACAAAUUACCUUAGGGAUAACAGCGUUAUUUUUCUUUAAAGCUCUUAUUAAAAGAAGAUUUUGCGACCUCGAUGUUGGAUUAAAAUUAAUUUUAGGUGCAGUUACUUAAUAAUUGGGUCUGUUCGACCCUUAAAAUUUUACAUGAUCUGAGUUUAAACCGGCGUAAGCCAGGUUGGAUUCUAUCUUUAAAUAGUUAAAAUAUUUUAGUACGAAAGGACCAAGUAUAAAUUAAAUUAAUUG
This 603-nucleotide ribosomal RNA is filed under the name Haplolycus sp. UPOL LF0258. RNAcentral describes it as "partial 16S large subunit ribosomal RNA". The stretch from base 379 to 537 matches the Rfam family "Bacterial large subunit ribosomal RNA", at positions 2473 to 2632 of the family's 2925-position model. The record is from RNAcentral. Lineage: Eukaryota; Metazoa; Arthropoda; Insecta; Coleoptera; Lycidae.